UUACAAAACUGUGUUCAGAUUAAAAGCAAAACUGACGGGAAAAUUCUUGCAUACGACACAUAGCAUUUCAAAAAUGUGUCCCACACAUAGCAUUAUUGCAUUUUUAUACACAGACUCCGAAUCAGAUGUAUAUGCGCAAACAUACAAUAUAUGUAGCUUCUCUAUGAAGAAUUACAAUGUCCGCCCUAUUUUUUAAACCUUCAACAAUAUUAUAAUGAACGUUUUUGUUGAUUGAAUAACAAAUAUACCACACAUAGCAUUUCACUUUGGGUGUUUUCAAAUACGCGGUUGCACUUUUUGGAAAAAAUACUUAAUUAAUUUUGCACAAACUUAACACAGUUGUGAAUUUUGACAAUGACCGGGCUCUCGUCUUUGUUUUUUUUGAAAAUGGUUUUGAAUUAAUGAAGAAAUUAUCAGAAACGUACCUGAAGCUAUGGUUUGUUGACAUCCGAUUGUCCCACACAUAGCCGAAAAAGUCACGUGGUACAGGCACCUUGAUUAACACAUUGGCAUGUUGUCUAGACAGGAUGAGGGAAGAUUUGAAAUAUGCAUGCAGAGAUUGCAAGGUCACCUGGUCAAUGGGAUUGCUGUAUCUUAAUAUUACCAUACAAAGGGGGUCAUGUUAUUGAUACUUGUUCAACUGUUUGGUGCAUGUUGCAUCAAUGAUUAUUUACCAAACAAAAUUGCAACAUCAUGUCUGACAUCUCCAAUGCCAUUUUAAACAUUUAACAUACAACGAAAAAGGAUGUACUAAAUUAUGGAUGCUUCAAAAAAGUAAAAUGUUGUUCAUUUUUAUUUUGUAAAAUCACAAUAAUUAUUUGUAUUGAUGAUUUUACUGUUUCACAUCAUAGAAAAAAACUAAGUUACAUUUUGUCUUCUUUUUGGGGGGGUUGUCCCAUAAGAGUGGAAAUUACUUUGCCUAGAAUUAAAACAUUAAACAAAAAAUCUAUUAUUUUGGUGUUAAUUCUUCCCAACCAUCUUUUUUGAAUAACUUAAAAAAAAUGAAACGUCCUAGUGCGAAUGUCAUAUGUUAAACAAUACAGUUAAAAGCAAAGCACUUGGAAAUUGGGGGGGGAAUACGGUUUUGUCUUGUCAAAGCAUCUUUAGAAAAAAGCAGCCUACGCAAGCUGCAUGCUUACCACUGCAAGUAUGAUGCAUACGUAUGCAGCUGCAUCCUACAACUGCAGGCAGUGUCACGUCUUGUUCUUGAACCAGUCUAGACGCUCCAGCACUUACAUGUAUGUUAAACACAAUACUAUCACUUAUUUAUAACAAUAAUAUGUUAAUUAAUUUGAAUAGAUGUGAUAAUUUAUUUUGCUGCAGUGCUUUAUGUGAUUCUUUAGUGUACUGCGACAAUUAUUGUGUUAUUUUAAUGUCGGAUGUAAAAGAAUUCUUAAGUGUACUGCGACAAUUGUUGUGUUAUUUUAGUGUCUGAUGUAAUAGAAUUUGCAAUUGCAAUAAAAAAAUCAGUGCAGAAAAGCGAACCUGAACAAUCCUGCUAGACUCCCAGACUGUAUCAUAGUCCAGGGCCCUUAUUCAACAACCCAUUUUGGCUCAAGUCUUAAAAUAUAGAAUAUUCUUAAAACUAUAAUGUUCUAUAAUUUCUUUAAAGCUAAGUCUUGCAUGACAGUUUACAUAGUAUAUAUUUACAUCAUUAUUUAAAUAGAACUGUUUGUUCAUGAUGUAAGCACCGUUUCCAGCCUAUAUGCAUUCAAACAUGUUUAUUCAUUCUUAACUCUUAGAAUCAGUUGGUUAAAUGGGGUCACUCGGGUAAAACUAAAUAGGGUAUGCUAUUUACUGAUUUACCAUUCGUGUGGUUAUUUGUCAUAUUUGGAGGGGGGCAUGUAAUGCAUUCAAAUUGGAAGUUUUUAAUCUAUUGAAAAUAAAAUAAAAAGCAUUGUUCUGCUUAAUGUAUGGUUUACAUUCAUUAACAUAUUGGCAUAACCGUUUACGACUUAAAAAGCGAGUUGAAAAUGGCUAUGUGCAAACAGCAUAAAACCAGAACAGCCUCAGUGAAUCUAGUAAUCACUGGGGGCUGACGAGGUAUAAGCGUAGUCCGUUUCGCUACGAAGUCGGGUAUAUGUUUUUCUACGAAAACAUUGUGUACAUACACAUGACAUCGAAGAACGGAUUAGUGGAAAUUUGUGUUUAAAACAGAGUCAUGGAGUGGCUGGAUGUUUCCUUUGAGGAAGAGAUAGUAACAACGACACAACAUGAUCCGAAGCGCACAGUCGACAUGGUCCGGUCUCACUAUGAUGCCGGCGGAGCCCCGGUGCGUGAUCAGGCAUCUACCGGGAUGAACCGGGGCCAUACCGGGAUGAACCGGUGCUCCACCGGGAUGAAACGUAGACGACCGGGGACAACCGGGGCU
Molecule: long non-coding RNA, 2371 nt
Organism: Dreissena polymorpha
Lineage: Eukaryota; Metazoa; Mollusca; Bivalvia; Myida; Dreissenidae
Exons: 3
Source: RefSeq, a predicted model, not a curated record